AGCAGGGCUGACCCCAGGGCCUCAAACCCGGAGGCCCGCGAGCUGCGCGGGCCGUCAGCACCCCUAGCCCCGGCGCGGCGGCGUGCGUUCCCGCCUUUGUCCAGCUCUGGGUUUUCAAACCUUGCCCCGCUGAACCAUUACUCCCUGUAGGGGAGUCUCGCUUGCUUCUCUUCAGAUGCAAAACGAAAUGGACCUUCACACAGCUGGGGCAUCCUCCAAAACAACUUUAUCAAGUUCCUGACUCUGAAAGCCAGCUUAUUGCCGACUACUGAGAACGAACCCUGCGGUCUAGGAAAUUUCCGUGCUUCUCACAUUUGAGUUAUGCGUCUUUGCUUUUUUUCACGUUUGUUGCAGAGGCUAGAACUUAAUAAGGGAUCGCAAAGAGAAGAGAACAGACUAAGACAGAAAAUUGGGACCAAGAAGUGGAGUUAUUUCUGUUACAAAUACUUGAAAUUGUGCAAGCAGCUUUGGAAUUCGGUAAUGAGUAGAGGCUACAAGAAUUUGGAGGAGCAAGCAAGAAAAGGUACAUAUUGCCAUGAACAGACCAUGAAGGACAAUUCUGAUGAAGGCUUAGAAAAAGAUCCCAGAAUUAGGAAAGUCUAAAUCUUCCUAAAAAUGUUGAGAAAAAUAUAGACAGUAACAGUCAUUCUGACAAGUUCCAGACAAAAAUGGGGAACAAGGUAUUGGAAACUGGAAUAAAGACCAUUCUUGUUAUAAGAUAGCAAAGACCUUGGCUGAAUUAUGCCUAUAUCCUAAGACUUUAUGGAAUGCAGAACUUAAAAGUGAUGAACUUGGAUAUAUGGUGGAAGAAAUAUCAAAGCAGUGAGCCAUUCAGACUUCUGUCUGGCUACUUUUAACUACAUGCAGUGAGAUAUGAGAGCAAAGGUAUUAACUAAUUUAAAGGGAAGCAGAGUGAAAAGAUUUGGAAAAUUUGCAUCUUGGCCAGAUAAAAACUGAAAAGCCUGUUCAGGAGAGAACACUAAGGGUGUGGAUGGUGACCAUUUGUUAAAGAGGUUAAUAUGAAUAAAGGGAGCCAGGUGCUACUCAUCAAGACAAUGGGAAAAGAUCCUGCAAGCAUUUCAGAGAUCUUCCAGGCUAACCCUGCCAACACAGAUCCAAUGCUGUAGGAGGGCAGAAUGGUUUUGAGCAAUGGGCCCUGAGUGCCCUCCAUGGGCUUGCCACCCAGAGCCACCUCACGUCUCUGCUCCACCCAUUUCAUUACAGUGCUCCUCAGACACCCUAGGUGUGACUUGACCUGUCACUCCAGAAGAUUCAAGUGGCAAAUCUUAGUGGCAUCCACAUGAUGUUAAGUCUGCAGGUGUCCAGAAUGCAAGAGCUGUAGGGGCAUGAUUUUCUCCAUCUAGAUUUCAAAGGAUGUUGCAUACGGCCUUUGGAGACCCAGACAGAGACUUGUCACAGGGCAGAUCUGCCAAAGAGAGCCCCCACCAGGGCAAUGCCUAAUGAAGCUGUGGAAGUGGGACUGCCACCAAGACCCCAGAACUACAGAGCCAACAGCAUACAUCAUCAACCCAAGAGAGCUGAGUCAUGGGCUGAGCCCAGCAAAGCUGUGGGGCUGUGGCUAACCAAGGCCAUGGUGGCCCAAUCCCUACAUCAGUGUGCUCAGGAUGUGGGAUAUAGAGUCAAAGGAGAUUGUUCUCUGGCUUUAUGACAUAAUGCUCUCUGUUGGGUUUUGGGCUUACUUGGGACCUCUUAUUUCUUCUUGCCUAUUUAUCCCUUUUGGAAUGAGAAUUUCUGUCUAAUGCCUGUCUCACCAUUGUAUUUUGGAAAUAGAUUUUACAGGCCCACAUCUGGAAGGAAUUUGCCUCAAGGUGAAUCAUGCUGUAAGUCUCAUCCAUAUCUGAUUUAGAUGAGACUUUGGACUUUAGAUUUUUGAGUUACUGCUGGAAUUAGUUAAGGCUUUGGGGGCCACUGGGAUGGAAUGAAUGUAUUUUGCACUGUGAAAAGUAUAUAUAUUUGGGGGGCCAUGGGUGGAAUGCUAUGGUUUGAAUAUUUCAUGUGUUGGAAAGUUAAUUUUCAACGCAACAGUGUUGGCAGGUGGGGCCUAAUAAGAGGUUAAUUGGGCCAUGAGGGCAGACCCCUCAUGAAUGGAUUAAUGUCAUUAUCCUAGUAAUGGGAUACUUUUUCUGAGGGUAAAUUAUUAUAAAAGUGAGUUUGGCCAAUUUGC
Molecule: long non-coding RNA, 2185 nt
Filed under: Homo sapiens (human)
Lineage: Eukaryota; Metazoa; Chordata; Mammalia; Primates; Hominidae
Description: HSALNT0321791
Source: RNAcentral